AACUGAACAACGUAUUCAAGGGAAGUCGACAGCUUCGGGAAAAGGAUUCCUCUGACGACUGAGCAAAAUGGGCUGGAAUCAGGUACGUGUUGGUCCGCUUCAGUGGAUGUGGUUAAUGGAAUUACUGGACUCUGACCAGGCCGAUCAGCGGCAAUUUCAGCUGUAGUUUUGCUUUGCCGGCAGUGUGGAUGGGCAACUGUGUGUGUGUGUUGGCAGCUUUGCUUCCCUCGCUUGGCGCUCAACGGCUCGUUCAGAACUGGCCCGAACCAGGGGAUCCGACUGUCUAAUUAAAGCCAAACAUUGUGAUGCCCGCUGACCGGUUUUGACGCAAUGUGAUUUCUGCCCAAUGCUCUGAAUGUCAAUGUGAAGAAAUUCAAUGAAGCGGGGGUGGGAGGGUUGUUAACGGCGGAAUUAUCUAUGACUCUCUAAAAGUAGCCAAAUGCCUUGUCAUCUAAUUAAUGGCGUACAUGAAUCGAUUAACGAGAUUCCUACUGUCCCUAUCUACUAUCUAGCGAAAUCACAGCCAAGGGAAUGGGCUUGACAGAAUUAGCAGGGGAAGAAGACCCUGCUGAGCUUGACUCUAGUCCGACUUUGCGACAUGACGGGCGUAGAAUAAGUGGGAGAUGGGCUCCGGCUUGUCGCCAGUGAAAUACCACUACCGUCAACGUUCCUUUGCUUAUGCAGUAAAACGGGAACAAUAUUUUGGUCCUAUGCACAUGCCGGCAUGUGUGGUUUCGCUCAGGGUGUCGGUAUCUUGGUCAUACCAGAUGAGUCGUGACUUCGGUCGCGGCGUUUGAGUCUGGAUGCGAUGUGCGAUCCGUUCUGAUGGGGCGGUACAUUUGUCUAAUAGUAACGCAGGUGCCCCAGGGCGAGCUCAGCCAGAAUGGAAACCUAGCAUAGAGUAAAAUGGUAAAGGUCUGAUUUUGCUGUUUGUAGCUUGAAGCAAGAGGCCUCAGAAAAGUCACUACAGGGAUAACUAGCUUGACCGAACCUUCGUAGCAACGUCUUUACGAUCCUUCGGUGUUGGCUCUCCCUGGCGUUGUGGCGCAGGAUCCACCAAGCGUGUGAUUUUCCACCCACUAAUAGGGAACGUGAGUUGGGUUUAGACCAUCGUGAGACAGGUUAGUUUUGUGCUACUAAUCAUUGAGAGACGGCUCUGUGGUUAGAACGCGAAUUUAUUGACCGGAGGGUCCGUGAUCCGAACCCGACCUGUCUCUUGACUUUCCCUAUCUAGGCAUGGGAAACCGGGAAGUAUUUCAAUCCUCGUGCUUCAUUCAGGUAACAUGGCAGCUAGGCACCAAAAGGGUGUUACAGCUAAACGAUCAUCAAUAAUCACUGCAAUGACUUGCAAAACAACUUGGCCUUUGCUUUGGUAAUCCUGUUUAGUACGAAAGGAACCACAGUUAAAUGUGCCUGGCUGUAAGGCGAAUUUUGCGAAGCUAUCAUCUGAAGGAUUAGGACUGAACGCUUCUAAGUCUGAAUCCCGUCCGCAUAGCAACGGUACACUCUGUCCGUGUUACGUGGCUAGCCUUGCUUACGUUUUUCUUUUGACGCUUGGCCCAGGUUAUUUUUGGCCUGGCCCAUGAAGUCUGAUAUAAUGCUAGAUCGAUUACGGAAACCGUAUACCGGACCCCGGUAUGUGAAGGACGACACGAUAUCUAAACGCAGAAUCAGCGUGAAGGCACUAAAUCUUUAAUGGACGAUCUAAUUUUUGUCGGGGAGGCAUAAGUGUCCGAGCGUAUAUCAUACUGCGAGACGUUGACCCGCGUCCCUAUAUGACAUGAUGAUGA
This is a non-coding RNA of Opisthorchis viverrini, 1790 nucleotides long. The record is from Rfam. NCBI's taxonomy places the organism in Eukaryota, Metazoa, Platyhelminthes, Trematoda, Opisthorchiida, Opisthorchiidae.